Molecule: long non-coding RNA, 1386 nt
Filed under: Capsicum annuum
Lineage: Eukaryota; Viridiplantae; Streptophyta; Magnoliopsida; Solanales; Solanaceae
Description: long non-coding RNA (CANN_LNC006010)
Source: RNAcentral
UUGCCAAUUACGGUAGAAUAAUUAAUUAACCCUCCCAUGCAUCUCUUUUCUAAGUUUGGAAGCGGUCAAACGAUUGAGUUGCACGUGCGGCUUUGUUCUUUUGCAUUCAUUUUCAUGCCCAAAGCCCUUUAAUUUGCCACCAUAUCUUUACACGGACUUACGUGUCUCUUCCAACAAUCGACAUUCAACAAGCUGCCUACUGACGAUCAUCUUUGUGCUAUUCCAGUUUGUUUGUAAGGCUUUUUUGCCAUGUUAGUUAAUACUGUAUAUAACAUCCACCAAAUUCUAGCUAGUUGUACUAGCUUCGCAAUUACAAUAAAAAGGAGGUAAUUAGAUAUAGAAAUGUACAGAUAUGAUUUCCAACCCACAAUAUACACAUCAUUAUUAACUUUCGAACUACGUAUAUGAUCCCCCCCUAUUCUUUGUUCCUGAUUUCUUUAAUCACAGCUGAAAGUAAAAGAUUAACAUAUACAAAAGGAUUCAUUAAAACAUAGAUCCCUGUACAAGCAUAACAUAAAUAGCUAGCUAAGUGCUAACGGCAACAUACUCCUACUUUGUUCGUUCUACCUAAUGCACAUGCUUGUAUGUAUGUAUAUAGUUAGGAACUAUAUGUGUGUGUGUGUUGGACAGAGCCCUGUUUUAGUUUGAUGACCCCUUAAUUAUUAGAAAGGGGCACGAUGGGGAAUGCCUUUCCUCCUGCUGGAGUUCCUGUGAUUGUAGAUUGGUGGUGUAUCCGGAGACAUACUGUAUAUCAUGUGCAAAUUAGCUGCUUCUUCUUCUUCUUCUUCUUCUUCUUCACCAUCAGAAUUAGUAGUGCCCUCUUCAAUAUUCAGAUGACGAAACCCAAACAUUACUCUGUCGUCCCUGCGUUGCUUCUUCUUUGGGGUCGUCGAUGAUUCAUCCGAAUAUUCAAACCCUUGAUUAGUCUUCGCCUUCACUGCAAAUGUCAGCUCUUCAUCGCCUCGCCUAAUACCAUUCAGCUGCGCGCAGCCAAAAUCACAUCAAUUAAUAAUUGAAACAUUCUAACUAAGCACUCACUAAUAAUUUCACUGAUAAAAGGAGAAGUGAACUUAUUAAUUACCAACAUGCUCGACCAAAACUGAACACAGAAAUCUCGACGUAUAUACUUGGAAAACAGAGACCAUAUAUAGUUGCAAUUCAAACGUUCCAGAUUAAUGUCAAAUUCAAUCAGCUACAACCAUAUUCUUGUUAACAUCUUAUCUAUAUAUGGCAAUGCAGCAGAGGUUUGAGGAUGGGAGAGGAAGUUCUACCUUGCAGCCGAGGGAGCAGAAUCUGAAAGAGUCGAGUAGGCUGCGGGCACAGAUUUCACAAGUAUUGGUAACACCCUUGCCCGGUCUGGGCUGGGGACGCUCAUUAAGAAACACA